UGGUGGUGGUGUAUGGGUUUCGGUUUGUGGAGGUUCGGUUACGGGAGGGGUUUCGGUUACAGGUGGUGUUUCGGUUGAUGUGGUGAAUAUGGGUGGGGGUAUAGGGAAUGAGGUUGGUGGUAUAGUAGGGUUUAUGGUGGGAAUGGAAAUAGGUAUUGUGGGUGGAGGAGAAGGAACUGGGGAUUGGUGAAGUUCCAUCUCCGGGGUUGGGGACCGAGGGGGUGUGUUGCCUCGUUGUGGAGAUUCGUCUCCUUGUGAGCCCUCAGAGUCCGAACUCCCACCUUCGGAUUCGCUUGAGGAGGAAGGAAUAAGGAGCUUUCGCUUCGGUUGGGGUUUCCUCCUUUUCGGUUGUGGGGGUGAAGCAGCUUUCUGUUGUUUUCGCUUCUUGGGAGAAGGUCCCUUUGGAGCUUUGAACACUUUCUUCCCUUUGUCACCCUUUUUGCCCCUGGCCCCCGGUUUGUCGGCAUCAUGAACUUCUGUUGUUUUCGCUUCUUGGGAGAAGGUCCCUUUGGAGCUUUGAACACUUUCUUCCCUUUGUCACCCUUUUUGCCCCUGGCCCCCGGUUUGUCGGCAUCAUGAACCGAUCGCAGCAUGUCCGGUGUCAGUUCCCGCGGACCAGUUUGGCGAAACUCCUUGAUCGGUCUGAUCAGUCUGCUAUCAGCGGGCACAUCGGCAUACAUCGACUCCGGGAUAGAGCCAAUGAAGGAGAAUUUUGAUGCAUCAGAUACGAUGAUCUUCUUGGUAUGAAAGGUACCAAUAGAAGACAUCGGUGCACCGUCGGCUGUGGGAACGUUAAACUUGUCCAUGGCCCAUCUUGUGAUCAAGAUCCAGAACCAGGCCAGCGACACCUCGGAGUGUCAGGAAGAGGAAGAGAGGCUCUGAAUCAGUUGUUGCCAAAGGACAAACCCAUAGUCCAGAUUGAUCCCGUUGUACACCCCAUACAUAAUCGACAGGAAAAGACGACUGGCCCCGUCCGAUCCUGAGCUCCUCUCUGACAGUCCCUUGAAGAGAACUGUAAAUAACCCAUUCCACUGGGGCGGUAGGCAGGAUUUCUUGAACCUUGCUACGGAGGUGAGAACUUCCGUGUAGCCCAUGUUGUAGAACAUGUUGUACAGCAUACCAACCGGAAUCGUCUCCGGGUGAACUCGCGAUGGGUCAGCAGCAAACCCAAGCAUGGUGCAGAAGCGGGGGCGAGAAAUCGACGUUUUGUGUUCCGCCACUUCGAAGAAUACCCUGUCGACGGCCUUGUCGUAGUAAGUCGUUGCGUAGACCUGAGAUAAGGCCACCAUUGGCACUGUUUCAAUCCUUGACAGUGCAGGAGCAAGCUGGGAGUAUUUGAGACAUUCGAUGACCGGCGACAUAUAAGAAUCAUACGCCAGUGGGUUGAGAUCAAUCACGAGGCAUUGCUGAGGACGGAUUGGAAGAAUCUGAGAAGUAGCAUGGACGGAAGAGGAUUCAGCCAUUGUUGCAGGUUUGGAGAAGAAGAUAACCGGGAGAGAGUUUGGAAGUAUUUUUGCUUUGGAAAUUAUGGGGCAGUAAAGAGGUAAAAGGUGGUGUUGAUGGGUUUUUAUAGUAGGUGAUAGGAGAGAGAAAAAUCGUUUCAAAUCUCUUAUGGAAAUACGAAACGGGUUUUUGGAGUGACUGAUUGGUGACAGUUGGGACGUGCGAUGAUCACGUAGGAGAGAGAGUGUCAGAUUCCUAGGAUCACGCCGCCCAAUAAGCGCCGGUUCAGAGAAAGAAAUCGUUUCCAUUUCCACACGCGCCUGUAACUUCAGAGAUAUGACGCUUCGACAUUGCACACGCGUCCUCAAGUGUCAGAAAAAGCGCGGCCGUUUCAAAUUCACGCGCCCUCCUUUUUACCGUCGUUUGAAUUUCUAUCCUUUUAACUCCCGCCGAGUCAGCAACUUUUUGUCUUAUCCCCUUUUAAACGGCUGUUUCCAAUUAAUGAUCCACGUGGCUAAUUUUUGACCACAACUUCAUUUGUAACCAUCCAGUAAAUAUCCAGCCUGUAAAAUAAUUAGUAACGGAAUUUUUGAAAAUCUUGGAUUUUCGUGCAAAGAGUGUAAAAAAAAUAAAGAAGUAAAGCAACUCUUUUUAGGAUAAUCUGUGAUGUCAAUAAUGACACGAAACUGAUGAUCCCGGGCACGAAUCUCUUCCUUCAAGGUCAAGAAAGACCUCAAAGUGUUAGUGUGGAAUCCCGUUGAAUUACGAUCAAACAUUCAUUAAUAAAUGUUGAAAGGCUUCUUUUAAUAAGGCAAAUUAAGGGUGGUUUCGCUUUGAUUCAACAGUUCAAUUCUUGAUAUAAGAACGAACGUGAACAAAGUACUUGUGAGACCAGUGUAGUCUGUUGAACAAGUAGGUUUGAGUUGAUUUUGUAGUGGCUUGGAUUAAUAUGAAAUCUCAGAUAAAAAUUUAAAACUGGAUCCCUUGGGAAGAAAUGUCAUGGUGUGUAACAAUUUCAUUGGAACCACGCAAAAAGAAAAGAAAUUGAGAUUUCAUGAAGGUACAUUCGUCAAUUCAUUGGUGAAAACUUGAUCAAGUUAAUUGGUCACCGUCAAUUCGUUGGUGUUGAAUUUUGGGUUUCACUCAGCUCGUAGUGGCACGAA
This 2606-nucleotide long non-coding RNA is filed under the name Lactuca sativa (garden lettuce). RNAcentral describes it as "long non-coding RNA (LSAT_LNC008561)". The record is from RNAcentral. Lineage: Eukaryota; Viridiplantae; Streptophyta; Magnoliopsida; Asterales; Asteraceae.